RNAcentral lists this ribosomal RNA (580 nucleotides) under Chaetomium sp. RNAcentral describes it as "eukaryotic LSU rRNA". The stretch from base 218 to 371 matches the Rfam family "5.8S ribosomal RNA". Lineage: Eukaryota; Fungi; Ascomycota; Sordariomycetes; Sordariales; Chaetomiaceae. The record is from RNAcentral.
AAAGUCGUAACAAGGUCUCCGUUGGUGAACCAGCGGAGGGAUCAUUACAGAGUUGCAAAACUCCCAAACCAUUGUGAACGUUACCCAUCCCGUUGCUUCGGCGGGCGGCCCGGGCCCCGUGCCCGGCGCCCCCCGGCCCCUCGCGGGCGCCCGCCGGAGGUAAACCAAACUCUUGAAUUGUAUGGCCUCUCUGAGUCUUCUGUACUGAAUAAGUCAAAACUUUCAACAACGGAUCUCUUGGUUCUGGCAUCGAUGAAGAACGCAGCGAAAUGCGAUAAGUAAUGUGAAUUGCAGAAUUCAGUGAAUCAUCGAAUCUUUGAACGCACAUUGCGCCCGCCAGUAUUCUGGCGGGCAUGCCUGUUCGAGCGUCAUUUCAACCAUCAAGCCCCCGGCUUGUGUUGGGGACCUGCGGCUGCCGCAGGCCCUGAAAACCAGUGGCGGGCUCGCUAGUCACUCCGAGCGUAGUAGUUACAUCUCGCUCAGGGCGUGCUGCGGGUUCCGGCCGUUAAAAAGCCUUAUUUACCCCAAGGUUGACCUCGGAUCAGGUAGGAAGACCCGCUGAACUUAAGCAUAUCAAUAA